Non-coding RNA from Talpa occidentalis (Iberian mole), 444 nucleotides. The record is from the annotation of a RefSeq genome assembly. NCBI's taxonomy places the organism in Eukaryota, Metazoa, Chordata, Mammalia, Eulipotyphla, Talpidae.
AAUCAAGAACCUUUAGGUGACUCUCUAGAGAUGAACUCUUCUCCAGGCUUAGUGGCUGCGGUCCUCUUAGUGCUUGGACAAACACAUGGAGACUCUGUGACCCAGCAGGAAGGCCAAGUGACACUCUCAGCAGGGAACUCCCUGAAUGUGAGCUGUACUUUUUCAGCCUCAGGAUCUCUCACUCUUUUCUGGUAUGUCCAGUAUCCCGGAGAAGGUCUGCAGCUCCUGCUGAGAGCCCUGACAGUCAAUAAGAAGGAGAAAAAAGAAGGUUUUGAAGCCACUUACCGGAAAGACCCCAAAUCCUUCCACUUGGAGAAAACCUCAGUGCAAGAGUCAGACUCGGCUGUGUACUACUGUGCCCUGGGUGACACAGUGACAGAAACUGCAGGGGAAGCUGAGCGCAAACUGAGCAGCAGAAGGGGCCUGACUGCUGAGUGCCUCUGA